AGUGAACGCUGGCGGCAGGCCUAAUACAUGCAAGUCGAACGGCAGCACAGCUUAAGCUUGCUUAAGUGGGUGGCGAGUGGCGGACGGGUGAGGAAUACGUGGGAAUCUGCCCAGUCGUGGGGGAUAACGUAGGGAAACUUACGCUAAUACCGCAUGCGCCCUUUGGGGGAAAGCCGGGGAUCUUCGGACCUGGCGCGAUUGGAUGAGCCCACGUCGGAUUAGCUAGUGGGAGGGGUAAAGGCCCACCAAGGCGACGAUCCGUAGCUGGUCUGAGAGGAUGAUCAGCCACACUGGAACUGAGACAUGGUCCAGACUCCUACGGGAGGCAGCAGUGGGGAAUAUUGGACAAUGGGCGCAAGCCUGAUCCAGCCAUACCGCGUGGGUGAAGAAGGCCUUCGGGUUGUAAAGCCCUUUUGUUGGGAAAGAAAUCCAGCUGGCUAAUACCCGGUUGGGAUGACGGUACCCAAAGAAUAAGCACCGGCUAACUUCGUGCCAGCAGCCGCCGUAA
This 508-nucleotide ribosomal RNA is filed under the name uncultured bacterium. Its description in RNAcentral is "partial 16S ribosomal RNA". It matches the Rfam family "Bacterial small subunit ribosomal RNA", at positions 29 to 523 of the family's 1533-position model. The record is from RNAcentral.